AUGCACUUGAAAUUGAAGGACAAUGGGAAGUGGGAGAAGCCAAGAGCACCUUUUGUCAUCGAUAAGAAGGAUGUGAUAACCAUUCUGAAAUGGUUCCAAGAGCUGAAGUUCCCCGAUGGGUAUGCAUCAAGCUUUAGACGGGGAUUUAGCCUACUACACAGAAAGAUUUUUGGCUUCAAAAGUCAUGAUUACCAUAUCUUCAUGGAACGCCUACUUCCUGUUGCAUUUCGUGGCUUCCUUCCAGAGGACAUAUGGAAGUGUCUAGCAGAGCUAAGUUAUUUCUAUAGGCAGCUAUGUGCAAAAGAACUUAGCAAGGAUACCAUACGUUCACUUGAGGAGAAUGUUGUUGUUCUUGUAUGCAAAUUGGAGAAGAUAUUCCCUCCUGGUUUCUUCAAUCCCAUGCAACAUUUAAUCAUACAUCUUCCAUACCAAGCUCGGCUAGGAGGUCCUGUAUUAGCUCGAUGGAUGUACAUCUAUGAAAGGAUGAUUACUGUGAUUUGGCUAGAGCCACACAUCCUGAUGAUUGGGAGGAGCGAGAGUUAG
RNAcentral lists this ribosomal RNA (543 nucleotides) under Triticum aestivum (bread wheat). RNAcentral's name for it is "partial small subunit ribosomal RNA". Lineage: Eukaryota; Viridiplantae; Streptophyta; Magnoliopsida; Poales; Poaceae. The record is from RNAcentral.